This 73-nucleotide transfer RNA is filed under the name alpha proteobacterium HIMB114. It matches the Rfam family "tRNA". From Rfam's summary of the family: Transfer RNA (tRNA) molecules are approximately 80 nucleotides in length. Their secondary structure includes four short double-helical elements and three loops (D, anti-codon, and T loops). Further hydrogen bonds mediate the characteristic L-shaped molecular structure. tRNAs have two regions of fundamental functional importance: the anti-codon, which is responsible for specific mRNA codon recognition, and the 3' end, to which the tRNAs corresponding amino acid is attached (by aminoacyl-tRNA synthetases). tRNAs cope with the degeneracy of the genetic code in two manners: having more than one tRNA (with a specific anti-codon) for a particular amino acid; and 'wobble' base-pairing, i.e. permitting non-standard base-pairing at the 3rd anti-codon position. Lineage: Bacteria; Pseudomonadati; Pseudomonadota; Alphaproteobacteria; Candidatus Pelagibacterales; Candidatus Pelagibacteraceae. The record is from Rfam by way of RNAcentral.
GCCCAAAUAGCUCAAUUGGUAGAGCAACUGAUUUGUAAUCAGUAGGUCGGGAGUUCGAUUCUCUCUUUGGGCA